This is a long non-coding RNA of Vespula vulgaris, 630 nucleotides long. RefSeq lists it as uncharacterized. The record is from RefSeq and is a predicted model, not a curated record. NCBI's taxonomy places the organism in Eukaryota, Metazoa, Arthropoda, Insecta, Hymenoptera, Vespidae. The transcript has 3 exons.
GUCGACCGAAUACCAGCAGCGAUCAUCCGUGCGAGUAUAACGCGAUAAUACGCGUUUAGCAUAGAAAUCACGAAACACGUUGGUCGUCGUCGUCGUCGUGUCGUCGUCGAAACGUCGCCAUACGAAACUCGUCUAUAGAUCGAACGCUUGCGGUUGUCGCCGUUGAAUUUCUCUAUUUUUCACUGACUCUGGCAGAUGCAACGAGAAUACGCUUUUUCGCACGACACUGAGAGAACAACGAAACGCACUUUAUUUUAACGCGCCGAUGUAGACGACGACGACGGCGACGGCGACGACGACGACAACGACGAGAAAGAGAAAGAGAGAGAGAGGGAGAGAGAGAGCAAAAGAGAGAGAUGCACACGCACACACGCAUGCAUGAGAAUACCAGCGAAAUGGAAUAAUCAACGUCAAGCCACGCGAAAUACAGAAUUAUAAAACUAUAAGCCCAGCUUGUAAAACUGUCAGCACCAAUUUUUUUCCUUUUUUAUUUCACGAUAAAUAAGAUACUGUGUAUAUGUAAACAUAGAAAAAUAUUACAUAUGUUAAUUAACGUAAUGAAAGAUAAAGAUUUUCUUGCAGAAUAUUUUUAAUAUUUGUUCGCGAUAUUCCUCGCCAUCAUGUUUGAAU